RNAcentral lists this ribosomal RNA (429 nucleotides) under Acidobacteriota bacterium. Its description in RNAcentral is "Acidobacteria bacterium partial 16S ribosomal RNA". It matches the Rfam family "Bacterial small subunit ribosomal RNA", at positions 355 to 776 of the family's 1533-position model. Lineage: Bacteria; Pseudomonadati; Acidobacteriota. The record is from RNAcentral.
UGGGGAAUUUUGGACAAUGGGGGAAACCCUGAUCCAGCCAUCCCGCGUGUGCGAUGAAGGCCUUCGGGUUGUAAAGCACUUUUGGCAGGAAAGAAACGUCAUGGGUUAAUACCCCGUGAAACUGACGGUACCUGCAGAAUAAGCACCGGCUAACUACGUGCCAGCAGCCGCGGUAAUACGUAGGGUGCAAGCGUUAAUCGGAAUUACUGGGCGUAAAGCGUGCGCAGGCGGUUCGGAAAGAAAGAUGUGAAAUCCCAGAGCUCAACUUUGGAACUGCAUUUUUAACUAACGGGCUAGAGUGUGGCAGAGGGAGGUGGAAUUCCGCGUGUAGCAGUGAAAUGCGUAGAUAUGCGGAGGAACACCGAUGGCGAAGGCAGCCUCCUGGGAUAACACUGACGCUCAUGCACGAAAGCGUGGGGAGCAAACAGG